RNAcentral lists this ribosomal RNA (603 nucleotides) under uncultured fungus. RNAcentral's name for it is "eukaryotic LSU rRNA". It matches the Rfam family "Eukaryotic large subunit ribosomal RNA", at positions 37 to 652 of the family's 3401-position model. The record is from RNAcentral. Lineage: Eukaryota; Fungi.
AGCAUAUCAAUAAGCGGAGGAAAAGAAACCAACAGGGAUUGCCUCAGUAACGGCGAGUGAAGCGGCAACAGCUCAAAUUUGAAAUCUGGCCUCUUUGGGGUCCGAGUUGUAAUUUGUAGAGGAUGUUUCGGGUACCGCCUCGGUCUAAAUUUCUUGGAACAGAAUGUCAAAGAGGGUGAGAAUCCCGUCUUGGAUCGGCGGUAGGGCCCAUGUGAAACUCCUUCGACGAGUCGAGUUGUUUGGGAAUGCAGCUCAAAAUGGGUGGUAUAUUUCAUCUAAAGCUAAAUAUUGGCCAGAGACCGAUAGCGCACAAGUAGAGUGAUCGAAAGAUGAAAAGCACUUUGAAAAGAGAGUUAAACAGUAUGUGAAGUUGUUGAAAGGGAAGCGCUUGUAACCAGACUUGAGCGCGGCGGUUCCCCCUUCCUUUUGGCUGGGUUACUCCGCCGCGUCCAGGCCAACAUCGGUUCUGGGGGUCGGUUAAAGGCUCUGGGAAUGUAUCUACCCUCCGGGCGUAGACUUAUAGCCCAGGGUGUCAUGCGGCCUCCCGGGACCGAGGAACGCGCUUCGGCUCGGAUGUUGGCGUAAUGGUUGUCAGCGACCCGU